CUCAAAAAGCACUUUUCACUCCAAAGCAUUGCUAAACAAACACUGGUUGAGUGAGAAUUUUAACUUAAAAAAAGUGUUUUUCUUCAUAUGGAAUUUUUUAGCUUUUCCUAAGCUAAAAGUGCUUUUAGCUGGUUAUUACAUUUUUAUCCUCCAUUAGUCUUCUCUCAAAACACACGAAAUCAGCUGGUGGAGUUUUGUUGCCCAAAUCAGCUGUCAAGUUUGAGAGGUACCUGAUGGGGAGUUAGUUUCGGUCGGUGCCGAAGUAGGAAAAGUGGAGCCUAGAAAUAAGGUUUUUUUCUCGGAUAUAAAUGCUUAUGAGGUGGAUUUAGGAACAUAUACUAGGCAUGUGUUUUGUAAAGAGAGUGACUUGCGCUGAAGUUGAUUGAAGUUUUUCUGGUCUUUUGUUUUAAGAUGAAGAAUCAAUUAUAUUUCAAAAUUGAGCAGUUGUUAUUUGCAAUUAUAAUGUUGUUUAGUUGUUGCUACAUUGAUGUUAGUAACUUAUUAGAGAUUAUAAUAAUUGUUUAAAUGUUAAGAAA
Gossypium arboreum is the source of this 536-nucleotide long non-coding RNA. RefSeq lists it as uncharacterized. The transcript has 5 exons. NCBI's taxonomy places the organism in Eukaryota, Viridiplantae, Streptophyta, Magnoliopsida, Malvales, Malvaceae. The record is from RefSeq and is a predicted model, not a curated record.